Molecule: long non-coding RNA, 387 nt
Filed under: Fukomys damarensis (Damara mole-rat)
Lineage: Eukaryota; Metazoa; Chordata; Mammalia; Rodentia; Bathyergidae
Description: lncRNA (ENSFDAG00000028585.1)
Source: RNAcentral
AUCUCUCUCAGGUCAGCCUUGAACUAGACACUAGAGCCACGAGCUGAGUCCAAGUGCAUGCUCACGGAAGUCCUGGUCCCAGAGGAGAGGGAGACCUCAGAUCCUACAAGGUUGGGACCACAGAUGGGUGCCUGGUGCCUGGUGCGUCUCCUACUUUGACUCUAGUCGGAAGAAUGUGGGAUUUGUGAUGCUUUGUACCCAGAGGGGCUCAAUACCUGCCUGAUGAAUUGAACUUGAUUGAAGCCAAGGGGCAAAGCAAACAUGGUGGUACCCGUUACAGUUAGAGAGUAAGGAGUUGUCUGAACCAGUGACAAGAAAAGUGAAUGGUGAAGGCUGAAGGAGCAGAAACAAAUGAGUUUAGUAAGUACAAAGAUCCCCUACAGUUGC